RNAcentral lists this microRNA precursor (81 nucleotides) under Branchiostoma belcheri (Belcher's lancelet). RNAcentral describes it as "microRNA bbe-mir-34f precursor". Its record names the gene bbe-mir-34f. The record is from miRBase by way of RNAcentral. Lineage: Eukaryota; Metazoa; Chordata; Leptocardii; Amphioxiformes; Branchiostomatidae.
UGUUGUGGUGUGGCAGUGCGAAUAGCUGGCCGCGGUGUACCUUACCGCGACGGCCUCUCUUCACACUACCUCACCACGGCA